This 63-nucleotide transfer RNA is filed under the name Trichuris sp. LO613. RNAcentral's name for it is "tRNA-Leu". Lineage: Eukaryota; Metazoa; Nematoda; Enoplea; Trichinellida; Trichuridae. The record is from RNAcentral.
AUUUCUCUGGCAGAUAAAUGCAUUAAAUUUAGAAUUUAAAUAUACAAAUUAUUGUGAGAAAUA